RNAcentral lists this ribosomal RNA (375 nucleotides) under Candona rupestris. RNAcentral's name for it is "LSU rRNA". It matches the Rfam family "Eukaryotic large subunit ribosomal RNA", at positions 782 to 1139 of the family's 3401-position model. Lineage: Eukaryota; Metazoa; Arthropoda; Ostracoda; Podocopida; Candonidae. The record is from RNAcentral.
CAAUAUGGUGCACCACGAGCGCACAAGUUGGUACCCGAAAGAUGGUGAACUAUGCCUGGCAAGGGUGAAGCCAGGGGAAACUCUGGUGGAGGCCCGUUUGGAUUCUGACGUGCAAAUCGAUCUUCAAAGCUGGGUAUAGGGGCGAAAGACUAAUCGAACUAUCUAGUAGCUGGUUCCUCCUGAAGUUUCCCUCAGGAUAGCUGGUAAUCGUACAUAGUAUGACAUGUUUCAUCCGGUAAAGCGAAUGAUUAGAGGCCUUGGGGGCGAAAUGACCUCAACCUAUUCUCAAACUUUAAAUGGGUGAGAAGCCGGGCUUACUUGAAUGAAGCCAUAACGGCAUGUUGAAAUGAAUGAUUACCUAGUGGGCCAUUUUUG